Molecule: transfer RNA, 29 nt
Filed under: Allium obliquum
Lineage: Eukaryota; Viridiplantae; Streptophyta; Magnoliopsida; Asparagales; Amaryllidaceae
Also listed under: 1 other name
Description: partial tRNA-Phe
Source: RNAcentral
AAUUGUUGGGAUAGCUCAGUUGGUAGAGC